UCUUGGCUUCAGGAUAUUUCCUUUUAUUAAUGAAUAAUGUUUAACCUGAGGAUUUUUUUUUUUUUUUGCCCAGGUGCAACUUCAAACACUUAGUGAGGCCUCCAUAUUUUAUAGCUGGUUGUGUAGGAUCCAUGGUAUUAGUCUGUCAGAAUUCCAAGUGAUGACAGCUUCAGAGCUCCAUGAAUUUGCAAGGCCAUUCUGAAGGAAUUCUGAAUGAAGAGCAGGGGCUUAGGGAUGCCAGUUCCUGUGGUGGUAGAGUGUGUCUUCUUGCACCAGCAACAGUCCUCACUGUCACUACCUAAUGGAUAGAAGUAACAGCAAGCUUAACUCUUCCAUGUGGCUCUGUCCCUCCUCCCUGCCUGUGAGUACAGCUCUUACACCCUGGUCUAGCUCAACUAUGACCACCUAAUCCAUUGUUAAACAAAAUUCAGUACACUUUUGUGUAAGUAUGCAUUGUUUCUGUUAAGCUGGACUAACUACUGUUUUCUAGCAUCAUAACAUUAGAAUGUGACAGUACUCUGAAUCAUCCUUCUUCAGCUGUCCAACAAGCCUGCAACAAGACUGAAGAAAGAAGUAAUCAUGAGACAACUUAGUUAGCAAAAUACCAUCCAAGUAUUUCCACACACUAAAGGAAUACCCAGACACCAGGGAGCACAGUUUUUGAGAGUAGUAUGAAGCAGAUAGAACAUACUUCCUUUUUACCUUUGCUCUCAUGGAGGCAUUUUGUCUCAAAGAGCUUGACAUGAUGCUUCUGAAAUGUGUUUCCAUUUUUUUACCACCUCAGUGUGAAUAACAUACAUUUCUUGUCUGCCGUGAACUGUUAAAAAUCCGACAUUUCACACAGUCUUCUAGUGUUUCAUGGCCUCAAGACAGUCUUGCCCAUUUAACCUGCCUGGAUCAUGCUGUAGUAGUAUUCCAGGAGUAUUUAUUUCAUUUCACUAUACCUGUAAGUACAUGACCGCUAUGCUACCUAACUUUAACUAGUAAAAUAAUGAAAGCAUGCCAUUUACAGUAUUUUGAAUUCUGAUGUUAAACAUCAGUGUUACAAAGGAUGUGGUUCGCAGUCCCUUACCUUGUAUCCCAAGUGUGAAUUUUAAGAAAAAUUGUUGAAACAUUCAAAUAUUCAAAGUUAAUGAAAAAAAAAACCAACUAAAACCAACUUCACUGAAGAUUGUAUCUGAAGAAAGAUAAAAUGGAAACCUGUAUUUGGCCUUCUAAUUGCAAAAUGUGUUUUAGCAGAUUUGGCAGCCCAAAAUGCAGGCUGAGGACAUUAAGUCUUGAUAAAUCAACUUGCAGUUGUGGCUGCAGUUUGUAGACAUUUUUCAUUUGGACAAACAUUUGUGACAAAAGCUGAUUGUUCUACAUGAAAAAUAAUGUUGUUACGGCAUAGCCUUAUAAAAACCUGUUAUGAAAUCCUGGCUGAUGUGGAGGUAGUGGCAGAACUAUUGAUUCCAGUAGAGCCGGG
This 1465-nucleotide long non-coding RNA is filed under the name Gallus gallus (chicken). RNAcentral describes it as "lncRNA (ENSGALG00010026390.1)". Lineage: Eukaryota; Metazoa; Chordata; Aves; Galliformes; Phasianidae. The record is from RNAcentral.